AGCGUUAAUUCGGAAUUCACUGGGCGUAAAAGGGUGCGUAGGCGGUACGUUAGGUUCUGUCGUGAAAUUCCCCGGGCUCAACCUGGGAAUGGCGGUGGAAACCGGUGUACUAGAGUAUGGGAGAGGGUGGUGGAAUUCCAGGUGUAGCGGUGAAAUGCGUAGAGAUCUGGAGGAACAUCAGUGGCGAAGGCGGCCACCUGGCCCAAUACUGACGCUGAGGCACGAAAGCGUGGGGAGCAAACAGGAUUAGAUACCCUGGUAGUCCACGCCCUAAACGAUGAAUACUAGAUGUUUGGUGCCUAGCGUACUGAGUGUCGUAGCUAGCNCGAUAAUAUUCCGCCUGGAANACGCCGCA
This 355-nucleotide ribosomal RNA is filed under the name uncultured Acidithiobacillus sp. Its description in RNAcentral is "bacterial SSU rRNA". It matches the Rfam family "Bacterial small subunit ribosomal RNA", at positions 537 to 890 of the family's 1533-position model. Lineage: Bacteria; Pseudomonadati; Pseudomonadota; Acidithiobacillia; Acidithiobacillales; Acidithiobacillaceae. The record is from RNAcentral.